CCUACGAGUGGCAGCAGUAGGGAAUUUUCGUCAAUGGGCGCAAGCCUGAACGAGCAAUGCCGCGUGAACGAGGAAGGUCUUCGGAUCGUAAAGUUCUGUUGAAGGGGAAAAAGAGCGGAGAGAGGAAAUGGCCUCCGAUUUAUAUUACCCUUCGAGGAAGUCACGGCUAACUACGUGCCAGCAGCCGCGGUAAGACGUAGGUUGCGAGCGUUAUCCGGAAUGAUGGGGCGUAAAGGUUGCGUAGGCGGCCUGCUAAGUCGUGUGUGAAAGGUACCGGCUCAACCGGUACAGGCUCUGGAAACUGGCGGGCUAGAGAGCAGGAGAGGGUGGUGGAACUCCAUGUGUAGCGGUAAAAUGCGUAGAUAUAUGGAAGAACACCAGUGGCGAAGGCGGCCGCCUGGCCUGUUACUGACGCUGAGGCACGAAAGCGUGGGGAGCAAAUAGGAUUAGAUACCCGUGUAGUC
RNAcentral lists this ribosomal RNA (464 nucleotides) under uncultured bacterium. RNAcentral's name for it is "partial 16S ribosomal RNA". It matches the Rfam family "Bacterial small subunit ribosomal RNA", at positions 338 to 795 of the family's 1533-position model. The record is from RNAcentral.